This 250-nucleotide ribosomal RNA is filed under the name uncultured bacterium. Its description in RNAcentral is "partial 16S ribosomal RNA". It matches the Rfam family "Bacterial small subunit ribosomal RNA", at positions 524 to 776 of the family's 1533-position model. The record is from RNAcentral.
UACGAAGGGAGUGAGCGUUAUUCAUAAUGAUUGGGCGUAAAGGGUUCGUAGAUUGAUAAUUUAACCUUCGGUGAAAGUUCAAGUAAAAUUGAAAGGGCUUUAGGUAUUGAUUUUCUAGAGUGAGUCAGAGGACAACAGAAUUUUGUAAGUAGGAGUAAAAUCUGUAGAUAUGCAAAGGAAUGCCAGAGGCGAAAGCGGUUGUCUGGGAUAUCACUGACAUUGAGGAACGAAAGCGUAGGGAGCAAACAGG